GGUUGUGUAGUGUAGUGGUUAUCACUCGAGAUUUUGAGAAGAUAUGUCUUCGGAUGAAUUCUCGUAACCCCGGUUCGAACCCGGGCACGACCU
Non-coding RNA from Mycena vulgaris, 93 nucleotides. The record is from the annotation of a GenBank genome assembly. Lineage: Eukaryota; Fungi; Basidiomycota; Agaricomycetes; Agaricales; Mycenaceae.